AUGCAGUACACUGGACCAACCUACCGCUUCCCACCCACCGCGUCGGAGAGGCUCUAUACUGCCGGCGUGUAUGUUGAGCGUACACUACGUGUGUGGGCGAUAUCAAGGUGGAGGACCGCAAGGGGCUUCGCCGAGUUCUUCCUCACGUCCGGCUACCGCCACCUCCCACGUGGAUCUCCAAGGAUGUUCCGCGUCGAGGAGGUCAUCCAAAACGGGGUGGUGGUUGCUAUCUGUGCCCGCUUCACCAACCCCUUCGAUGCCUUCUACCUUCUCGGGCGCGUGUUUUGGUGUGGUUGCAAGUUCAUCGCUUUCAUCACCCACAACAUCCUCACAGAGUACAGCAACAUCUUCCCCACCGCGUCGCACACGCACACUCUGCCGUACCACAUUGACAACACGCCGAAGGAGCAGUGA
This 414-nucleotide ribosomal RNA is filed under the name Triticum aestivum (bread wheat). RNAcentral describes it as "partial small subunit ribosomal RNA". Lineage: Eukaryota; Viridiplantae; Streptophyta; Magnoliopsida; Poales; Poaceae. The record is from RNAcentral.